RNAcentral lists this unclassified non-coding RNA (349 nucleotides) under soil metagenome. RNAcentral's name for it is "partial contains 5.8S ribosomal RNA, internal transcribed spacer 2, and large subunit ribosomal RNA". The stretch from base 1 to 120 matches the Rfam family "5.8S ribosomal RNA", at positions 35 to 154 of the family's 154-position model. The record is from RNAcentral.
GAUGAAGAACGCAGUGAACUGCGAUAAGUAAUGUGAAUUGCAGAAUUCAGUGAAUCAUCGAGUCUUUGAACGCACAUUGCGCCCCCUGGCAUUCCGGGGGGCAUGCCUGUCCGAGCGUCAUUGCUGCCCUUCAAGCCCGGCUUGUGUGUUGGGUCGUCGUCCCCCCCGGGGGACGGGCCCGAAAGGCAGCGGCGGCACCGCGUCCGGUCCUCGAGCGUAUGGGGCUUUGUCACCCGCUCGAUUAGGGCCGGCCGGGCGCCAGCCGGCGUCUCCAACCUUCUAUUUUACCAGGUUGACCUCGGAUCAGGUAGGGAUACCCGCUGAACUUAAGCAUAUCAAUAAGCGGAGA